RNAcentral lists this ribosomal RNA (497 nucleotides) under uncultured bacterium. RNAcentral's name for it is "partial 16S ribosomal RNA". It matches the Rfam family "Bacterial small subunit ribosomal RNA", at positions 28 to 507 of the family's 1533-position model. The record is from RNAcentral.
GAUGAACGCUGGCGGCGUGCCUAAUACAUGCAAGUCGAGCGAACAGACGAGGAGCUUGCUCCUCUGACGUUAGCGGCGGACGGGUGAGUAACACGUGGAUAACCUACCUAUAAGACUGGGAUAACUUCGGGAAACCGGAGCCAAUACCGGAUAAUAUAUUGAACCGCAUGGUUCAAUAGUGAAAGACGGUUUUGCUGUCACUUAUAGCUGGAUCCGCGCCGCAUUAGCUAGUUGGUAAGGUAACGGCUUACCAAGGCAACGAUGCGUAGCCGACCUGAGAGGGUGAUCAGCCACACUGGAACUGAGACACGGUCCAGACUCCUACGGGAGGCAGCAGUAGGGAAUCUUCCGCAAUGGGCGAAAGCUUGACGGAGCAACGCCGCGUGAGUGAUGAAGGUCUUCGGAUCGUAAAACUCUGUUAUUGGGGAAGAACAAAUGUGUAAGUAACUAUGCACGUCUUGACGGUACCUAAUCAGAAAGCCACGGCUAACUACGUG